AGGCCAUGAUGCAGGAAAAGUCCAUCACCUCUUUGUACCUUUCCCAUGCUUCAAUGAGAGAUUCUCUACUAACUUGUCUAAAAUAAGUGAUUUGGUUUCUUAAAAU
Lathyrus oleraceus (garden pea) is the source of this 106-nucleotide small nucleolar RNA. The record is from RefSeq and is a predicted model, not a curated record. Lineage: Eukaryota; Viridiplantae; Streptophyta; Magnoliopsida; Fabales; Fabaceae.